This is a long non-coding RNA of Stomoxys calcitrans (stable fly), 502 nucleotides long. RefSeq lists it as uncharacterized. The transcript is spliced from 2 exons. NCBI's taxonomy places the organism in Eukaryota, Metazoa, Arthropoda, Insecta, Diptera, Muscidae. The record is from RefSeq and is a predicted model, not a curated record.
UUGGCACUUUCAUGCCAUUGCCACUGUAAGGUGGCCCUUUUCAUUGAUGGCUAUCUGGCUUGUUGUGCUUUGGGUUAGGAUUUUCCCAGUUUGUUCUGCCCAUGAUUUGUUUAAAUUAACAUAAAUUCCCUUAAUUGCUGUUUGCUGCUAUGGAUUUGUUGUGGUCGGCACCCAAUUGAAUUCGGAUCGCAUCUGGACGAACGAAAGGAAAGUGAACUCUCCAAAGGCAUCUACUAUACACAUUGAAUAAAAAUUCGCUUCCCAGACAUGGCUACUGUUUUCCCAUUUAGUGGACUGGAGUUUCUUGUAAGUGGGGAGCUUAGUGUUAAUUACAGAAGCGUAAUUGAGGUAUUUAAUCGUACAAACUCCAUCAUUCAUCUACAUUCGCUCAACUACAUUAAAACUUCCAAAUUACGUAAAUAUUUGUGAGCAUUUCAAAUUGUUGAUGUUUACCAUAAAUUUAAUAGUAAUGAAAUACUUCCGAAUAUUUGAAAUGGCUUAA